Molecule: long non-coding RNA, 523 nt
Organism: Clupea harengus (Atlantic herring)
Lineage: Eukaryota; Metazoa; Chordata; Actinopteri; Clupeiformes; Clupeidae
Source: Ensembl
UCUUGAGCCGGGGCGUUACAGCUGAGGUGAGGUGUUGUAGAGGUCAGAGGUCGUAGGUGAGGUGAGGUGAGGUGUUGUAGAGGUCAGAGGUCGUAGGUGUGGUGAGGUGAGGUGAGGUCAGAGGUCGUAGGUGAGGUGAGGUGAGGUGUGGUGAGGUGAGGUGAGGUGAGGUCAGAGGUCGUAGGUGAGGUGAGGUGAGGUGUGGUGAGGUGAGGUGAGGUGAGGUGAGGUGAGGUGAGGUGAGGUGUUGUAGAGGUCAGAGGUCGUAGGUGAGGAGAGGUGAGGUGAGGUGAGAUGAGGUGAGAGGUCAGAGGUCGUGAGGUGAGAGGUCAGAGGUUGUGAGGUGAGGUGAGGUGAGGUAGAGUAGUUGAGUACGGUGAAGGACCAUGAGAGUAGAAUUUGUGUGUGUGUGUGAGAGAGUAUGUAAGUGUGUGUGUGUGUGAGAGAGAGAGUAUGUAAGUGUGUGUGUGUGAGUGUGUGUGUGUGUGUGUGUGUGGGUGUGUCAGAGUUAGUCCAGGCAAAA